AGAGUUUGAUCCUGGCUCAGGAUAAGCGCUAGCGGCAGGCCUAACACAUGCAAGUCGAGGGGCAGCGGGUGGAGUAUUUCGGUACUCCUGCCGGCGACCGGCGCACGGGUGCGUAACGCGUAUGCAACCUACCUUUAACAGGGGGAUAAUCCGAAGAAAUUUGGUCUAAUACCCCAUAAUAUCAUUUAAGGCAUCUUAGAUGGUUGAAAAUUCCGAUGGUUAGAGAUGGGCAUGCGUUGUAUUAGCUAGUUGGUGAGGUAACGGCUCACCAAGGCUACGAUACAUAGGGGGACUGAGAGGUUUUCCCCCCACACUGGUACUGAGACACGGACCAGACUCCUACGGAGGCA
RNAcentral lists this ribosomal RNA (350 nucleotides) under uncultured bacterium. RNAcentral's name for it is "bacterial SSU rRNA". It matches the Rfam family "Bacterial small subunit ribosomal RNA", at positions 8 to 350 of the family's 1533-position model. The record is from RNAcentral.